RNAcentral lists this small RNA (107 nucleotides) under Aureimonas jatrophae. Its description in RNAcentral is "rpsB sRNA". It matches the Rfam family "rpsB sRNA". The record is from Rfam by way of RNAcentral. Lineage: Bacteria; Pseudomonadati; Pseudomonadota; Alphaproteobacteria; Hyphomicrobiales; Aurantimonadaceae.
CACACACGGAUGUCGGGUUCAACGCGGGUCUCCGCUACGAUCCCACCGGUGGCGUCUCGCCGAGGCGCUCUGAUCCGUGGAGGCACUAACCGGUUCAAAGGAACGAA